AGUGAACGCUGGCGGUAGGCCUAACACAUGCAAGUCGAACGGCAGCACAGUAAGAGCUUGCUCUUACGGGUGGCGAGUGGCGGACGGGUGAGGAAUACAUCGGAAUCUACUUUUUCGUGGGGGAUAACGUAGGGAAACUUACGCUAAUACCGCAUACGACCUACGGGUGAAAGCAGGGGAUCUUCGGACCUUGCGCGAUUGAAUGAGCCGAUGUCGGAUUCGCUAGUUGGCGGGGUAAAGGCCCACCAAGGCGACGAUCCGUAGCUGGACUGAGGGGAUGAUCAGCCGCACGUGAGAGGGGACGCGCACCCGCCCCCGACGUGAGGCAGCGGUGGGGCUUCUUGGGGAAGGGGCGGAAGCCUGUUUCAGCCAUUCCGCGUGGGUCAAGAAGACCUACGGCUUGUAAAGCCCUUUUGUUGGGAAAGAAAAGAGGCCGGUUAACACCCCGCUGUUCUGCCGGUACCGAAAGAAUAGGCACCGGCUACCUUCGG
RNAcentral lists this ribosomal RNA (491 nucleotides) under uncultured bacterium. RNAcentral describes it as "partial 16S ribosomal RNA". It matches the Rfam family "Bacterial small subunit ribosomal RNA", at positions 29 to 506 of the family's 1533-position model. The record is from RNAcentral.